CCCUUAGAUGUUCUGGGCCGCACGCGCGCUACACUGAUGCAAGCAACAAGUAUAUUCCUACACCGAUAGGUGCGGGUAAUCUUUAAAAUUGCAUCGUGAUGGGGCUUGACGAUUGUAAUUUUUCGUCACAAACGAGGAAUUCCUAGUAAGCACGAGUCAUCAGCUCGUAUUGAUUACGUCCCUGCCCUUUGUACACACCGCCCGUCGCUGCAACCGAUUGAGCGCCUUGGUGAACACUCAGGAUUAGUUGUUUAGUUGGGUUCGCCUAUACUUGAUAAUUGAGAAUCUGUGUAAACCCACGUGCUUAGAGAUUGCAAAAGUCGUAACA
This 328-nucleotide ribosomal RNA is filed under the name uncultured eukaryote. RNAcentral's name for it is "partial 18S ribosomal RNA". It matches the Rfam family "Eukaryotic small subunit ribosomal RNA", at positions 1470 to 1796 of the family's 1831-position model. The record is from RNAcentral.